AGGGCGCGUGGUGGAUGCCUUGGCACUAGGAGCCGAUGAAGGACGUGACUAACUACGAUAAGCUUUGGUGAGCGGUAAGUACGCUAUGACCCAGAGAUUUCCGAAUGGGGAAACCCAACUCGAAGAGAGUUGUCAUUAUCUGAAUACAUAGGAUAAUGACGGAACACGCUGUGAACUGAAACAUCUCAUUAGCAGCAGGAGAAGAAAGAAAAAUCGAUUCCCUAAGUAGCGGCGAGCGAAAAGGGAAGAGCCCAAACCAGAGUGCUUGCACUCUGGGGUUGUAGGACUGAUAUAUAGGAGUUACAAAAGUGUUUUAUAGCAGAACAAGCUGGGAAGCUUGGCUAUAGAGGGUGAUAGCCCCGUACGCGAAAUAAAGCACCCUCCUUUCAGUAUCCUGAGUACGGCCGGACACGUGAAAUCCGGUCGGAAUCUGCGGGGACCAUCCCGUAAGGCUAAAUACUCCCUAGUGACCGAUAGUGAACCAGUACCGUGAGGGAAAGGUGAAAAGCACCCCGGAAGGGGAGUGAAAUAGUUCCUGAAACCACGACGCCUACAAGAAGUCAGAGCCCGUUAAUGGGUGAUGGCGUGCCUUUUGUAGAAUGAACCGGCGAGUUACGGUAUCGUGCAAGGUUAAGGUGGAAAGACCGGAGCCGCAGCGAAAGCGAGUGUGAAUAGCGCGAAUAGUACGAUGCUGUAGACCCGAAACCAGGUGACCUACCCAUGGUCAG
This 728-nucleotide ribosomal RNA is filed under the name Acinetobacter baumannii. Its description in RNAcentral is "partial 23S ribosomal RNA". It matches the Rfam family "Bacterial large subunit ribosomal RNA", at positions 14 to 743 of the family's 2925-position model. Lineage: Bacteria; Pseudomonadati; Pseudomonadota; Gammaproteobacteria; Moraxellales; Moraxellaceae. The record is from RNAcentral.